CCAACUUGCACCCACCUCCCAAGCACCUUCCGCGAACUUGAACAGAAUCAUCUGGGCCUAGCAGGAAACUGAUUUGGGUGGCAUCAUCAGCAUCUUCACCAUUUACUAAAACCUGCUCUGCCUGGAACGAUUGCAAGAUUAGUCGAGAAUUUUUGCUGAUGAACUCCGGGAGGCCUCCCACACUGACCGUGGCUCGUAAGGCUGCAUGGUGGCAGGGUUGAGAAGGGCAUCGUACAACACCCUGAGGUCAUGAAGAAGACAUUCUUUGGAAGGUCUGCAUAAGCGUCGAGCAGAUGAUCGCUCGUCCGAAGCAUGCUCAAGUCUGAAGAGGCAAGUAAAGACAUCAGUUUGCAGGUUAGACCCACAUAUUCAUCUCAAGUGAAUAGGGAGGAGGCCAACCUGUACUCGACCGAGUUCGACUCAGCAUUACAUUUGACUGCGACAACCAAACCAUCGGUCACUGCUCUACCAGCAAGUUUCCUGAGGCAAUAAUCCAGCAGCUCUAACGAGCCAAUAGACGAAAAGGUUGCCCCUCGAAGAGCCCGCCAGUGAUUCAGGAUCUUCUGGUUUUUCUGUUGCAUCAGCUCCCGAAUUCUUCUCAUCGUAGCAGUCCUUGAUCUGCUGAGUUAUGAAACAGAAGAGGUCUCUCAAUGUCUUCAGUCUUCGAGGUGAAAGGAACACAUAAAGGGCAAUGGUCUUCUGCAGCUGGGUGCUAAGUGAUCGGUCAUCAAGGAGAGGAGUGCUGGAGAGACCAUCCACGGCCUUACGGUAAGCCUCAGUGGUGUGACCAAAGCUGCCGGUACCAAACUGGUAUCCCCAGUUUCCAUACCAUGGCUGGCCUGCGGUGACAGCUUGGAGGAGCCGGAACUCCAUGCCGUGCUUCUUGGACACAUCCAUGACGGAGAUUUUUCUGCUAGGGAAGAAUCAAUUUUGGGGUAGCAGCAGGGAUGAAACUCUUGUUUCUACAAUUCAUGCGUGGAGGCAGUGCUUAUAACUCUAAUAAGCUAUUAACUGAUUAUCCAGUAAUCAGAAUUUGUUCAGAUUGUUAUCCAAAGUAUCGAUCUCAAAUUACAUUUGAAA
This is a long non-coding RNA of Musa acuminata AAA Group (dessert banana), 1080 nucleotides long. RefSeq lists it as uncharacterized. The record is from RefSeq and is a predicted model, not a curated record. The transcript is spliced from 3 exons. Lineage: Eukaryota; Viridiplantae; Streptophyta; Magnoliopsida; Zingiberales; Musaceae.